This 223-nucleotide long non-coding RNA is filed under the name Elaeis guineensis (African oil palm). Its description in RNAcentral is "long non-coding RNA (EGUI_LNC051842)". Lineage: Eukaryota; Viridiplantae; Streptophyta; Magnoliopsida; Arecales; Arecaceae. The record is from RNAcentral.
AUUUUGGUAAAAAAAGAGAAGUCCUAUGCGAUUUGCGAAACUGAGUUUAAAAAACUUUUGACCAAAGUGAAUACUGAAAAAAAUUUUUCACGAUAUUCACAAAUGAACUCGAGUCGAGCUAAUCUAGUAUAUGACUGAUGAUGGAGUCUGAUGACUUCUUUAUGACCUCCAUCAAGUCAGAACUCACGAUAGAAAGACUAAAUUAUACGAUAACUGUACCUCG